UUUCCGUAGGUGAACCUGCGGAAGGAUCAUUCAUAAUGAAGUGUUUUAUGGCACUUUUUAAAAAUCCAUAUCCACCUUGUGUGGCAUGUUAGAUCUCGUCAAUCUUGACGAGAUUUUUAUACAUCAACUCAUUCUUUAGCUAAUUUGUCUGAAAAAUAUUAUGAAUACUUAAUUCAAAAUACAACUUUCAACAACGGAUCUCUUGGCUCUC
This 211-nucleotide unclassified non-coding RNA is filed under the name plant metagenome. Its description in RNAcentral is "partial contains small subunit ribosomal RNA, internal transcribed spacer 1, and 5.8S ribosomal RNA". The record is from RNAcentral.